This 1372-nucleotide ribosomal RNA is filed under the name uncultured bacterium. Its description in RNAcentral is "bacterial SSU rRNA". It matches the Rfam family "Bacterial small subunit ribosomal RNA", at positions 28 to 1381 of the family's 1533-position model. The record is from RNAcentral.
GAUGAACGCUGGCGGCGUGCCUAAUACAUGCAAGUCGAGCGAACAGACAAGGAGCCUGCUCCUUUGACGUUAGCGGCGGACGGGUGAGUGACACGUGGGUAACCUACCUAUAAGACUGGGAUAACUUCGGGAAACCGGAGCUAAUACCGGAUAAUAUUUCGAACCGCAUGGUUCGAUAGUGAAAGAUGGUUUUGCUAUCACUUAUAGAUGGACCCGCGCCGUAUUAGCUAGUUGGUAAGGUAACGGCUUACCAAGGCGACGAUACGUAGCCGACCUGAGAGGGUGAUCGGCCACACUGGAACUGAGACACGGUCCAGACUCCUACGGGAGGCAGCAGUAGGGAAUCUUCCGCAAUGGGCGAAAGCCUGACGGAGCAACGCCGCGUGGGUGAUGAAGGUCUUCGGAUCGUAAAACUCUGUUAUUAGGGAAGAACAUACGUGUAAGUAACUAUGCACGUCUUGACGGUACCUAAUCAGAAAGCCACGGCUAACUACGUGCCAGCAGCCGCGGUAAUACGUAGGUGGCAAGCGUUAUCCGGAAUUAUUGGGCGUAAAGCGCGCGUAGGCGGUUUUUUAAGUUUGAUGUGAAAGCCCACGGCUCAACCGUGGAGGGUCAUUGGAAACUGGAAAACUUGAGUGCAGAAGAGGAAAGUGGAAUUCCAUGUGUAGCGGUGAAAUGCGCAGAGAUAUGGAGGAACACCAGUGGCGAAGGCGACUUUCUGGUCUGUAACUGACGCUGAUGUGCGAAAGCGUGGGGAUCAAACAGGAUUAGAUACCCUGGUAGUCCACGCCGUAAACGAUGAGUGCUAAGUGUUAGGGGGUUUCCGCCCCUUAGUGCUGCAGCUAACGCAUUAAGCACUCCGCCUGGGGAGUACGACCGCAAGGUUGAAACUCAAAGGAAUUGACGGGGACCCGCACAAGCGGUGGAGCAUGUGGUUUAAUUCGAAGCAACGCGAAGAACCUUACCAAAUCUUGACAUCCUUUGACAACUCUAGAGAUAGAGCCUUCCCCUUCGGGGGACAAAGUGACAGGUGGUGCAUGGUUGUCGUCAGCUCGUGUCGUGAGAUGUUGGGUUAAGUCCCGCAACGAGCGCAACCCUUAAGUUUAGUUGCCAUCAUUAAGUUGGGCACUCUAAGUUGACUGCCGGUGACAAACCGGAGGAAGGUGGGGAUGACGUCAAAUCAUCAUGCCCCUUAUGAUUUGGGCUACACACGUGCUACAAUGGACAAUACAAAGGGCAGCGAAAUCGCGAGGUCAAGCAAAUCCCAUAAAGUUGUUCUCAGUUCGGAUUGUAGUCUGCAACUCGACUACAUGAAGCUGGAAUCGCUAGUAAUCGUAGAUCAGCAUGCUACGGUGAAUACGUUCCCGGGUCU